GCAAACUUGGUCAUUUAGAGGAAGUAAAAGUCGUAACAAGGUUUCCGUAGGUGAACCUGCGGAAGGAUCAUUAAGAGUGCGGACCGCUGGGUCCCGACCACUUUUAAACCCCCCUCGUGAACCAGUCCUUGUUGCUUCGGCGGACCCGCGCCGUAAGGCGCCCGGCGGCCCCCCAGACCGGGGGGCGGCUGGAGCGUCCGCCAGAAGACCACUCGAACUCGAUGUUUUGGUGCCUGUCUGAAGCUCACACAAUUCUUUAAAACUUUCAACAACGGAUCUCUUGGUUCUCGCAUCGAUGAAGAACGCAGC
RNAcentral lists this unclassified non-coding RNA (309 nucleotides) under uncultured fungus. RNAcentral describes it as "partial contains small subunit ribosomal RNA, internal transcribed spacer 1, and 5.8S ribosomal RNA". The stretch from base 1 to 73 matches the Rfam family "Eukaryotic small subunit ribosomal RNA", at positions 1759 to 1831 of the family's 1831-position model. Lineage: Eukaryota; Fungi. The record is from RNAcentral.